Molecule: non-coding RNA, 884 nt
Organism: Odocoileus virginianus texanus
Lineage: Eukaryota; Metazoa; Chordata; Mammalia; Artiodactyla; Cervidae
Source: RefSeq, a predicted model, not a curated record
CAAGAGUGCUGGAGUGGGGUGCCACUUCUUCCUCCAGGGGCUCUUCCCUACCUGGGGUCUCUGGUGUCCCCUGCCUGGGCAGGCGGGCUCUUUAUCCUUGAGCCAUCAGGGAAGCCCCGGAGGAGCCUUAGUUACCUGAAUAUAAAAGAGGAGUUUCAGGGCCAUCAGAGCUGACGCCUGGUGAUAGCAGUGCAGGACUCCUUGCAUAUAAUAGCCCGUGGUGAAUGCUACUUCCUCUUCCUUGGGUGCUGGGCUGGGACGGCUGGGACUCUGGAAGCUGUGUGGGUUUAGGUGGCAGAAUGUGCUAAUUUUAAUUUCCAAAUGGGUUUUCCUCCUCUGAGGCUUCUUUUCAGCUGGCCAAGUCCCCGCAGUGGGAACCACUGACCGGGGCUCCUUUCUCACAGACGUGCUAACCCUUCCCUUUGUCCCGUCUCGCUUUUACUGUCAGUCUGGUACUUGAUAUGGAAGGAGGAUGCAUCUUAACCCCGCCCCAGCGCUCCCCCGGGCGCUCCCCCGGGCGCCCCUCCAGCUUCCUGCUCCCACCUUCCGCAGGACUCGUGGGAAUUUCUGCUGGAAGCCUCCGAACGUGCCCCAGAGUGUCUACCAGAGGAUACGAUGCUGACCUUUCUAGAGUUCCUGCUAUUAGUCCCUGAAGAUCCCAGAAACCCACCCAGCGCCCAGCCCCAUGCCUGCGGGCUCAUCUCUGACCUCCCUCUCCUCUUCCCAAACCACGUCGCACACGUGCCUCACCAGGAACUCGCGUCCUGUCUUCGCGUCCCACCGGUUCUUCCUGAGUAGGCGACUGUCCUUGGAGCCUCCACCGCCAUGAAAAGGCCACACUCUUAGUUGUCCUCGGCUUUUUUAAACGUUAAUUUUUAAACUUU